GCGACGCGCGGCCGAGCGCCAGGCGGAGGGAGAGCGCGAGAUCGGGCCGUUGCCAAGAGACUGGCGGCUCUGACGCGCGCGCUGAUGAGGCCGUCGCCACGGCGACCGCGGGGUGGUGACGUCAGGGACGCCGGCCGCCCGAGGCCCGCCCGCCAGCGCCCGCGUUCCCGCCGGCGCGCGCCCGCUACCGGACGCCGCGGGCGCUGCGGGCGGCUUAACCCUUCCGUCCCCGGGCGCAGCCUUCCCUCCUGCACACGCGCGCACGGCCGCUUUCGCCCAGGUCCCCGUCGUCUCGCACCCUGACAACAGGCUUGGUUCUAGCGCGGUUCCGAAACUCCCUGAAGUGCAGCACAGGUGCGGCUGCGUCCUCUUCAGCCUUCUACUCCAGGUUCCUCAUUAUCAGGCAAAGAAGAUGUUUUCUAAGAGAAGACAGAGGGUAUGGAGAAUGGUAUUUCUUAAAUAUUAGGAAGGCAGCACUUUUGAGAUUUAAAUUCUGCAUCUAGCCUGCAAUCAUUUUUACCUCGUGUUAAAUAAAAGUACCACGUCAUAGGAGGGGCUGGGAGCGAGUUAAGUGAAAUGGAUACGGAACUUACACACCUUCUCGGGAGGCUGCCUGGCGAGGGCGCCUGGUGGAGCGGGGAUGCCCUUCUACUGGUGACCGAUUGCAGGCCUGGGCAAAUAUUUCCCAUCACCCCCUCCCUGGGCAGUUGUGUGUGGGUUUAGUUUGUUCUGAAAGUCCUUUCAAGGACAUAAGUAGUCCCAGAGCUUUCUUUAGUCUUUCAAAAGUGCCUUCGUUAUCUGUCCCAAGUUUAUCCAUAGAGAUUUUGGAGGAAUAUGUUUUACUUCCUUCAAGCUGAGUAGUUUACAACUGCUUUCCUCUCCUUCGGGGGGUCCCAGCACCCUGCUAAUCUCUUCCUAGGAGAAUGGCACGCAGAGUGAAGAGAGUAGGACCUGAAUGCGCUCACCUGCUGUCCCUCGUUCUGUGACUUACGAGCUUUUCUCAGGCUCAUCCAUUCUUCCAUGCUUUGUACACAAUACGAGGAAAAGAAAACACUGAGUGUGUGCUCCUACAGGCGUAAGAAAGUGACCUGAGCAAUUCUCCACCUAACCUAGUGGAAGGAAGACUCUCAAAGUCUGCAAGAAUGGUACCAUAGACAUAGAUAUAGAUAUCACUGCAGAUUCGGGAGAAAACAAUCCGUGAACUUCUACUCUUCGCAAGAACCGUGCUAGGCGCUGCCAGGAGCACAGAGAGAAGGCAGAGGGUGUGGACCCAAGGGCGGGAGGCCGAGAGGACCAGCUGAUGUGGGGAGGAGAGGAGACAGGAGAUCCGGACCAGCUCCAAGACGGACGUGGCGGAAGUACUGGAAUCGUUGAGGGUCCAUUCACCAAUGAUCGCCCAAACAGUUGUUCUUUUUAUAAAAGGAUCGAGAUCCUUCCGUGUAUGAUGCACCUCCUGCCUGUUUCACCAGCCCUGCGGAGGAAGCCUCUUGCCAGGUCAUUAAACCACCAUCAGAGUCACGCCUGGAAUUCCACGAUGGAGGAGGCUGUACCGUCCCCGAUUUAACCCCCUGUUGUCCCCCUCCCCCAUGCCAACAUCUUGGUCACUCUGACAAGCCUUUCUGCUCACAUUCUCCAGGAGACUUCCUUGGAGAUGCCAUGGCUGUCUGAGAGGCAUCCGGGGUCCCGAUUGGACACCUGGCCCAGCCUGCUCAGGACAGCACAGCCCCAGGGAGGAGGGUGGUACCUGGUGGCCAAGAGCAGACUCUCAGAAACCGAGGGCUCCCAGGCGGUCCUGGAGACCCGCAGGCUCAGGCCACCACAGCAGGGCUUGGGGGCUGUGGAAAAGGGAGAGGCCUCAUCCCCCGGUUGCCAAGGCGACGCGGAAGCCUCUGAUUGCCCAGGAGGACCCAUGGCUCAGCAUCGGGCUUUUUCAGUACAGCCUACAAAGGUGUUUUCGUUCAUUCUGACCUGGUUUUCAUGGAUUUUGGUAUUGUUGUGUUGUUUGUUUAAAAAGAAAACACAUGGACUUACGUCAUGAAGAGGCAAAGACGUCACUGGCAUCAACUAAUAAAAAUGAUCAUAAACUCGU
Orcinus orca (killer whale) is the source of this 2089-nucleotide long non-coding RNA. RefSeq lists it as uncharacterized. The transcript has 6 exons. The record is from RefSeq and is a predicted model, not a curated record. Lineage: Eukaryota; Metazoa; Chordata; Mammalia; Artiodactyla; Delphinidae.